ACCGGCCUUAAGAUCCAAGGCGGCAGCCUUCACAUCGUGAAUGAAUCCGGCCUUGACGGCUGCGGUCUUCGCCAAGAAGAGUUUCUUCACGAAGAGACCCUGGGAAGAGCCGACCAUCACCACUGCCUAAAAAGAUGCACUUUAUCCUCAUAUGUCAAAACACUUGAUUUGAAGUUGAACUACUGACACUGAAACUUACCACCAAGAGGAGUAUCCGGAAUACAGACAUGUUGAGGAAAAUAAUAAAGAGAACCUUCGACGUAUUUGGAACUUUCUCGUAUUUUCUACCCCUGGGCGCUCACUGUAGGAAUUUCGCACUCUGCAUACCCUCUGCUCACUUUCACCCUUUAUAAUAUUCACCAUUGAGUUGCUGAUGACAAGACUGACAGGGCGGCACGGAUUUUAGUCAUCUUUAUUUAUGGGAAAACUGGGAUAUGCUUUGACACCUGCUGCGCUGCUUCGAAUUUGGACAUAUCGUUCAGGGUGAGAAGAAAUGCUGUCAGGAUGGAUACUCCACCAAGUACGAACCACAUGGAUAAUUCAAGAAGGACCUUCAAUUAUUAUAGGAUGUCUUUUUUUUAGGUUAUGCACGCAAUAUACGUAAC
Molecule: long non-coding RNA, 605 nt
Organism: Cephus cinctus (wheat stem sawfly)
Lineage: Eukaryota; Metazoa; Arthropoda; Insecta; Hymenoptera; Cephidae
Exons: 4
Source: RefSeq, a predicted model, not a curated record